RNAcentral lists this ribosomal RNA (460 nucleotides) under uncultured bacterium. RNAcentral's name for it is "partial 16S ribosomal RNA". It matches the Rfam family "Bacterial small subunit ribosomal RNA", at positions 338 to 795 of the family's 1533-position model. The record is from RNAcentral.
CCUACGGGUGGCAGCAGUGAGGAAUAUUGGUCAAUGGACGAGAGUCUGAACCAGCCAAGUCGCGUGAGGGAUGACUGUCCUAUGGGUUGUAAACUUCUUUUAUCUGGGAAUAAAAUGACCCACGUGUGGGAUUUUGUAUGUACCAUAUGCAUAAGGAUCGGCUAACUCCGUGCCAGCAGCCGCGGUAAUACGGAGGAUCCGAGCGUUAUCCGGAUUUAUUGGGUUUAAAGGGAGCGUAGGUGGAUUGUUAAGUCAGUGGUGAAAGUUUGCGGCUCAACCGGAAAAUUGCAGUUGAGACUGGCAGUCUUGAGUAAAGUAGAGGUAGGCGGAAUUCGUGGUGUAGCGGUGAAAUGCUUAGAUAUCACGAAGAACUCCGAUUGCGAAGGCAGCUUACUGGACUGCAACUGACGCUGAGGCUCGAAAGUGUGGGUAUCAAACAGGAUUAGAUACCCUUGUAGUC